This is a non-coding RNA of Acanthosepion pharaonis, 101 nucleotides long. Lineage: Eukaryota; Metazoa; Mollusca; Cephalopoda; Sepiida; Sepiidae. The record is from the annotation of a GenBank genome assembly.
CGUUGAAAUGCCAGUUCUCGUAUGAUCCUCGAAGUUAAGCAACGUGGAGUCUGGUCAGUACUUAGAUGGGUGACUGCUUAGGAAUACCGGGUGCUGUAAUC